RNAcentral lists this ribosomal RNA (293 nucleotides) under uncultured bacterium. RNAcentral's name for it is "partial 16S ribosomal RNA". It matches the Rfam family "Archaeal small subunit ribosomal RNA", at positions 455 to 747 of the family's 1478-position model. The record is from RNAcentral.
GUGCCAGCCGCCGCGGUAAUACCGGCAGCCCGAGUGAUGGCCGAUCUUAUUGGGCCUAAAGCGUCCGUAGCUGGCUGCGCAAGUCCGUCGGGAAAUCCACCCGCCCAACGGGUGGGCGUCCGGUAGAAACUGGCCGGCUUGGAACCGGAAGGCUCAGAGAGUACGUCCGGGGUAGGAGUGAAAUCCCGUAAUCCCGGACGGACUACCGAUGGCGAAAGCACUCUGAGAAGACGGCUUCGACAGUGAGGGACGAAAGCUCGGGUCUCAAACCGGAUUAGAAACCCGGGUAGUCC